UUUUAAUAGCUUAUAUAGAGUAUAAUAUUGAAGAUAUUAGGGAAGUAAAUUACUUUAAAAUAUGUAU
This 67-nucleotide transfer RNA is filed under the name Thonalmus sp. UPOL A00595. RNAcentral's name for it is "tRNA-Phe". Lineage: Eukaryota; Metazoa; Arthropoda; Insecta; Coleoptera; Lycidae. The record is from RNAcentral.